This is a long non-coding RNA of Sapajus apella (tufted capuchin), 1324 nucleotides long. RefSeq lists it as uncharacterized. NCBI's taxonomy places the organism in Eukaryota, Metazoa, Chordata, Mammalia, Primates, Cebidae. The record is from RefSeq and is a predicted model, not a curated record. The transcript is spliced from 2 exons.
UCGAGAGAGUAAGACCCUGUUUUUAAAAAAAAAAAAAAGACGCGGUUGGUUAUGUGCCUUUCACUUUCUGUUUCUUUGCUUCAGAAGCUGCUGUUUGGUCAUUUGUUUCCUUCAUUUUCCAGGUGCUUCUUUGACAGACUCUUCCUCCUCCUCUUCAUCAUCUUCAUCCUCUCCAUCGACGUCGCCACCCUCUUCAUCGUCAUUCUCAGCCAUGCUUUUGGCUUUCACAGGAACAGCUUUUGUAGACGUUUUCCUUCCUGUGGCUGGCGUGGUCUCCAUAGCUGCUGCUUCAGCACCAUCUCCCUUGGCAUCAUCCUCAUCGUCCUCGUCCUCAUUCUCUGGGGCAGGGGCACCGCUGCUGCUUUCAUCACUGCUGGCUCAGAUUCAUCCCCCUCGUCACUGUCUUCCUUGGCGUUCCUGCCAUUCUUUGCCCCCCUGGCUGGGGUGCUCCCUCCUUACCAGGAGCUACUGCCAAUGCCUUCCCUGGUGUGGCUCCCUUCUUGCCAGGUGUGGCGACUGCUUUGCCUGGAGUGACAGCUGCUUUCUUGGCGGGUGUGGCACCUGCAGCCUUUCUUGUUGGGGAAAUUGCCGCCUCCUUUGCUGAGUUGCAGCAGCCUUCUUGCCAUUCUCCCGAGAUGUCACAGCCUCUUCUCCACGGCUGUCAUCUUCUGACAUUUCCUCAUCUUUACUUUCUUCUUCUGCCUCCUUUGGGGUAGCAGCCAUUUUCCGGGGUCACCUUGGUUUUUACCUGCCUCUCCAACUAAGUAGUCCGAAGCCACUAAGGUUGGGAAAUCUUUGCAGGUGCGGGUUGGGAGAGCAGCAGGAGGUGGCUGGGCCCUGGUAGUGGGCCCAGUAGGAGAUGCUGGCAGCACCGCGAGAGGGCCUGGUUGGGAGUUAAGCCUUCGUGUAUCUGAGAUAAAUCACAAGCUCUUCUUGGUAUGAAAAUGUAAGAAAAUGACUCCGCAUCUUGCAGGAAACUGUGGGAAUGUGAAGGAGUUAAAUGGAAUCAGGGUAAGAAGGGCUGAGGGCCUCACAUAGAGCUCUGUGUUUUCUGCAUUGGAAAUUCUCAAAGAAGCUCAAAAGAGAGACUGUUCACAGCCCAUUUAGUAAAAGCACAGGUUGACCAUGCGCUGAAGUACAGGGCUUAGUGUUUCUCGGACCAAUCCUGAAGGUCUUCCAGGUGAAUCACUUACUCAGAUUAUUCCAGGCAACAUUUAAGACUCUGAGAUUAAGCCUAAAAAAAGAAAACAAAACCUAAGAUCAAGGAACCAGCGGGAGAAAAAAAAAGGUUCUGAAAUUGAUUUGAUUUUUUUUUUUUUUUUUU